Molecule: ribosomal RNA, 239 nt
Filed under: uncultured bacterium
Lineage: Bacteria
Description: partial 16S ribosomal RNA
Rfam family: Bacterial small subunit ribosomal RNA
Source: RNAcentral
UACGUAGGGUCCGAGCGUUGUCCGGAAUACUGGGCGUAAAGCGCGCGCAGGCGGCCCGCGAGGUGUCACGUGAAAGCCCCGGGCCUCGAACCUGGGAAUGGCGAUGGAUACUGGCUCGCUAGAGUGCGGUAGAGGAGAGUGGAAUUCCCGGUGUAGCAGUGAAAUGCGUAGAGAUCGGGAGGAACAUCAGUUGCGAAGGCGGCUCUCGUGGACCAGCACUGACACUGAGGCACGAAAGC